UUUUGACUCGAGGUCAGCAAUUUCUUUUUUACAGAUCUCCAAAUGUCUUGGCCCCAUUGCAAUGGGUCGGGCCUUAGUAGGUAUUUUCUGUUUCAUCAAAACUGGGUUCAUAUGGUAGAUUAACCACAUGGCUUUUUCUAGCCCAAAAGGCAUUGGGGAUUUCUGCACAGAUGCUAUUAGCCAUUUCAUUAAAUAAUUCUUUUAUUUUUGUUUGUAUUAAAGGUUCAUUAACCUUUUCUUG
RNAcentral lists this unclassified non-coding RNA (241 nucleotides) under Hevea brasiliensis (rubber tree). Lineage: Eukaryota; Viridiplantae; Streptophyta; Magnoliopsida; Malpighiales; Euphorbiaceae. The record is from RNAcentral.